Non-coding RNA from Pelobates cultripes (western spadefoot toad), 351 nucleotides. Lineage: Eukaryota; Metazoa; Chordata; Amphibia; Anura; Pelobatidae. The record is from the annotation of a GenBank genome assembly.
CAUUAAAAUAAUGUAAUCAGUAAAGGAGGAGACUGUAUUUAAAAGAAGAAAAACUAUCACAACAAGAGGACAUAGUCUUAAAUUAGAGGGGCAAAGGUUUAAAAAUAUCAGGAAGUAUUAUUUUACAGAGAGGGUAGUGGAUGCAUGGAAUAGCCUUCCAGCUGAAGUGGUAGAGGAUAACACAGUGAGGGAGUUUAAGCAUGCAUGGGAUAUGCAUAAGGCUAUCCUAACUAUAAGAUGAAAUAUUUAGAAAAUUGGGCAGGAUGGUUUUUAUCUGCCGUCACAUUCAAUGUUUCUGUUUUUAGCUAUCUAAUGCCUUAUUUUAAAUACUUGCUCCUUCACUCUUGCUAG